AAACUAGGGUGGGGUCAUUAAAAAAUCUUCUCAAGAACCACUGGGCCACAAAAGCUGAAACUUCUGUGGAAGCAUCCUGGGGUAGUGUAGAUUUUAAAUUGUUCAAAUCAUGACCCCCAGCGGUUGGGCGGGGCCACAAUGAGGAAUCAAAUUUUUACAUAGAAAUAUAUAGAAAAAAUCUUUGAAAAUCCUCUGCUCAAGAACCACUGGGCCAGAAAAGCUGAAACUUGUGUGGAAGCAUCCUGGGGUAGUGUAGAUUCUAAAUUGUUCAAAUCAUGACCACCGGGGGUAGGGCGGGGCCACAAUGGGGAAUCAAAGUUUUACAUAGAAAUAUAUAGGAAAAAUCUUUGAAAAUCUUCUUCUUAAGAACCACUGGGCCAGAAAAGCUGAAACUUAUGUGGAAGCAUCCUGGGGUAGUGUAGAUUUCAAAUUGUCUAAAUUUUGAUCAGUGGGGUAGGGUGGGGUCACAAUAUGUGUUACAAGGGGGAAAUCUGGUAAAGAACAGAAUGGUCAAAGCUUCUCAGGUGAGCGAUGUGGCCCAUGGGCCUCUUGUUUGUAAAAUUUCACAUUUUCAUCUUUGGUCAAAUUCAACGAAACUUGGCAAAGAGUAGCCUUGGAUAAAUGCCAUUAUGGGAUUUAAGUUUAUUCAAAUGAAGGCCCACUCCCUCUUCAAAUGGAAGAUUACUACAAAUUAGAGAAAAAUUAAGGACAUCUUUUAAAAAUCUUCUUUUCAAGAACCACUGAGACAGGAAAGAGACACUUAUGUGGCAUCAUCCUCAGAGGAAUACUUUUAAGGCUGAACAGGAUCCUGAAGUGAGGAGGACUUCCUCUCUCAUUGAACUGCAUACAGCAGCAGAAAGCAGGAUUUCAGUUCCCUUUGAUUCAGAAGAGGAACAACAAUGGAGGACCAAGGUCAUUAAUAUAAGAAGAGUCUAUUCCUGUCUGUGUUUUGCAGCAGAAGAAAGUUAAGACUGACCAGGAAUUCUAAGUGAGGAAGAGUCCCUUUCCCAUUCCGCUGCAGCCAUGAGGAGAAG
Molecule: long non-coding RNA, 1034 nt
Organism: Saccostrea cuccullata (small rock oyster)
Lineage: Eukaryota; Metazoa; Mollusca; Bivalvia; Ostreida; Ostreidae
Exons: 4
Source: RefSeq, a predicted model, not a curated record